UCUCCGUUGGUGAACCAGCGGAGGGAUCAUUACCGAGUUAUUCAACUCAUCAACCCUGUGAACUUACCUAUACGUUGCUUCGGCGGGAAUAGACGGCCCCGUAAAACGGGCCGCCCCCGCCAGAGGACCCUUAACUCUGUUUCUAUAAUGUUUCUUCUGAGUAAAACAAGCAAAUAAAUUAAAACUUUCAACAACGGAUCUCUUGGCUCUUGCAUCGAUGAAGAACGCAGC
RNAcentral lists this unclassified non-coding RNA (231 nucleotides) under uncultured fungus. RNAcentral describes it as "sequence contains ITS1, 5.8S rRNA gene". The stretch from base 183 to 231 matches the Rfam family "5.8S ribosomal RNA", at positions 1 to 49 of the family's 154-position model. The record is from RNAcentral. Lineage: Eukaryota; Fungi.